GGGAAACUGCCUGAUGGAGGGGGAUAACUACUGGAAACGGUAGCUAAUACCGCAUAACGUCUUCGGACCAAAGUGGGGGACCUUCGGGCCUCAUGCCAUCAGAUGUGCCCAGAUGGGAUUAGCUAGUAGGUGGGGUAAUGGCUCACCUAGGCGACGAUCCCUAGCUGGUCUGAGAGGAUGACCAGCCACACUGGAACUGAGACACGGUCCAGACUCCUACGGGAGGCAGCAGUGGGGAAUAUUGCACAAUGGGCGCAAGCCUGAUGCAGCCAUGCCGCGUGUAUGAAGAAGGCCUUCGGGUUGUAAAGUACUUUCAGCGAGGAGGAAGGCGUUAAGGUUAAUAACCUUAGCGAUUGACGUUACUCGCAGAAGAAGCACCGGCUAACUCCGUGCCAGCAGCCGCGGUAAUACGGAGGGUGCAAGCGUUAAUCGGAAUUACUGGGCGUAAAGCGCACGCAGGCGGUCUGUCAAGUCGGAUGUGAAAUCCCCGGGCUCAACCUGGGAACUGCAUUCGAAACUGACAGGCUAGAGUCUUGUAGAGGGGGGUAGAAUUCCAGGU
Molecule: ribosomal RNA, 559 nt
Filed under: uncultured bacterium
Lineage: Bacteria
Description: bacterial SSU rRNA
Rfam family: Bacterial small subunit ribosomal RNA
Source: RNAcentral